Molecule: ribosomal RNA, 1341 nt
Filed under: uncultured bacterium
Lineage: Bacteria
Description: partial 16S ribosomal RNA
Rfam family: Bacterial small subunit ribosomal RNA
Source: RNAcentral
GACGAACGCUGGCGGCGUGCUUAACACAUGCAAGUCGAACGGUAAGGCUCCAGCUUGCUGGGGUACACGAGUGGCGAACGGGUGAGUAACACGUGGGUGACCUGCCCUGCACUUCGGGAUAAGCCUGGGAAACUGGGUCUAAUACCGGAUAGGACCGCACCGUGAGGGUGUGGUGGAAAGUUUUUUCGGUGUGGGAUGGGCCCGCGGCCUAUCAGCUUGUUGGUGGGGUAAUGGCCUACCAAGGCGGCGACGGGUAGCCGGCCUGAGAGGGUGGACGGCCACAUUGGGACUGAGACACGGCCCAGACUCCUACGGGAGGCAGCAGUGGGGAAUAUUGCACAAUGGGCGGAAGCCUGAUGCAGCGACGCCGCGUGGGGGAUGACGGCCUUCGGGUUGUAAACUCCUUUCACCAUCGACGAAGGGUUUCUGACGGUAGAUGGAGAAGAAGCACCGGCUAACUACGUGCCAGCAGCCGCGGUAAUACGUAGGGUGCGAGCGUUGUCCGGAAUUACUGGGCGUAAAGAGCUCGUAGGUGGUUUGUCGCGUCGUCUGUGAAAUUCCGGGGCUUAACUCCGGGCGUGCAGGCGAUACGGGCAUAACUUGAGUACUGUAGGGGAGACUGGAAUUCCUGGUGUAGCGGUGAAAUGCGCAGAUAUCAGGAGGAACACCGGUGGCGAAGGCGGGUCUCUGGGCAGUAACUGACGCUGAGGAGCGAAAGCAUGGGGAGCGAACAGGAUUAGAUACCCUGGUAGUCCAUGCCGUAAACGGUGGGCGCUAGGUGUGGGUUUCCUUCCACGGGAUCCGUGCCGUAGCUAACGCAUUAAGCGCCCCGCCUGGGGAGUACGGCCGCAAGGCUAAAACUCAAAGGAAUUGACGGGGGCCCGCACAAGCGGCGGAGCAUGUGGAUUAAUUCGAUGCAACGCGAAGAACCUUACCUGGGCUUGACAUAUACAGGAUCGCGCCAGAGAUGGUGUUUCCCUUGUGGCUUGUAUACAGGUGGUGCAUGGUUGUCGUCAGCUCGUGUCGUGAGAUGUUGGGUUAAGUCCCGCAACGAGCGCAACCCUUGUCUUAUGUUGCCAGCACGUUGUGGUGGGGACUCGUAAGAAACUGCCGGGGUUAACUCGGAGGAAGGUGGGGAUGACGUCAAAUCAUCAUGCCCCUUAUGCCCAGGGCUUCACACAUGCUACAAUGGUCGGUACAGUGGGUUGCCAGUCCGUGAGGGCGAGCUAAUCCCGCAAAGCCGGUCUCAGUUCGGAUCGGGGUCUGCUACUCGACCCCGUGAAGUCGGAGUCGCUAGUAAUCGCAGAUCAGCAACGCUGCGGUGAAUACGUUCCCGGGCCU